Molecule: ribosomal RNA, 501 nt
Filed under: uncultured bacterium
Lineage: Bacteria
Description: partial 16S ribosomal RNA
Rfam family: Bacterial small subunit ribosomal RNA
Source: RNAcentral
GACGAACGCUGGCGGCGUGCCUAAUACAUGCAAGUCGAACGAACCGCGACUAGGUGCUUGCACUUGGUCAAGGUGAGUGGCGAACGGGUGAGUAACACGUGGGUAACCUACCUCAUAGUGGGGGAUAACAGUCGGAAACGACUGCUAAUACCGCAUAGGACAUAGGAUCACAUGAUUCUGUGAGGAAAGGUGGCGCAAGCUAUCGCUAAGAGAUGGACCCGCGGUGCAUUAGCUAGUUGGUAGGGUAAAGGCCUACCAAGGCGAUGAUGCAUAGCCGACCUGAGAGGGUGACCGGCCAAAUUGGGACUGAGAAACGGCCCAAACCCCUACGGGAGGCAGCAGUAGGGAAUUUUCCGAAAGGGACGCAAGGCUGACGGAGCAACGCCGGGUGAGUGAAGAAGGUCUUCGGAUCGUAAAGCUUUGUUGUUAGAGAAGAACAGCGAAAAGAGUAACUGUUAGGCGGGUGACGGUAUUAACCCAAAAAGCCGCGGCUAACUACGU